Mus musculus (house mouse) is the source of this 3756-nucleotide long non-coding RNA. RefSeq annotates it as RIKEN cDNA 2210011K15 gene. NCBI's taxonomy places the organism in Eukaryota, Metazoa, Chordata, Mammalia, Rodentia, Muridae. The transcript is spliced from 3 exons. The record is from RefSeq and is a predicted model, not a curated record.
CAUGGAGGCCGAACCAUGACAAUGCCUGGCAGAGUCCAAAGACGAUGAGUGGUGUGGCUCCAAUGCCAGAAGCUGAAGGGCUGAGGAGACUGCUCAUCCAGUAGAGGUGCUGGCUGCCGGGCCGGUGGACCGAGCUUGAUCCUUGGGACCUAGAUGAUAAAUGUAUCUAUUCUGCUGCUGUUGCUGCUGCUAGUCUUUGCUGACAUCAGACUUCGGCUUCAUUGGUUUCCAAUGUAGAUGGAAGACCAGCAACACUACCAACAUCUUCUAGACCUCCAGCUCCAGUCUGAGGCUGCUGGGGUAUCCAUCUCAUGGGCUGAACAUCCUCUCAGUUCACAGUCUCUCCAGCAUGCAGACAGCCAAUGCUGGACUACUCAGGCCUGUCUGGUGCAAGCCAAUCUAUGAACUCUCCUUUGUAGUAUAUAUUUAUUCUGUUUUCUUCCUCUGGAGAACCUCACUACAGAGUAGUGUUGGCAACAUCUCCCAGAGAACAAUAUGUUAACAUGGAGCAUACAGUGCUGGGUUGCUCCUAGCAGAGAAGCCUUCAGGACAACCUCAGAAGUAGAAGACACUUUUGUGGGAGAAGAAUACAGAGGAAAAGAAGGCAGCUGAAUCGAUUAGACUGCUCGAUACCCGCACGACACUGUGCAUAAUUACUCAACCAGGAACGAUGUGAUUAACUAAUUUGUAGUAUUUCUUCCUUGUAAAGAAGAGAAGAUAUAUUUUUUAAAAAAGCAAUAAAGACACACAUUUAAAAAACUGUUCCAAGACUCUCAGAGGAUGCUGAUAAACUCCUGUUAAAAAUAUGACUAAUCUAUUUCCCAAAAAGGGGGAAAAAGUCUCUCUAUACAAAUAGCUAGCAAAAUUGCCAAGGAGAUUUAGCCUUGGACUUGUGAGAAAUAUCAAUCUGAAAAGUCUAUCAUCCGAAGACCUUGGACAUCAAUAGUGGAUUUGAAUUAUGGAGCUGGGCUGCACCUUAAUUUACCCGGUCCUUCCCCAAGUAGGCAGAGAAUAUCAAUAUCUUGCAUUUAUAUGAUGACUGUCUUCCCAGAUGGCUUCAUCAAAUUGUAUGUUUUAUGAGACCCUCUUUCUUAACCGUGGUCAUCUCCGAAUGAGAACGACGCUCCUGGGUGACUCAAGCGAAGGAAAAAUCCCCAUCUUUCUACCCGUGAUCGUAAAAACGUUCAGUUAGCAAGCAUUUCCUGAGCAUCUGCGUGGGCAGAGCCAGAGACAAGUCUGUAGAUGGUGACAUACGGAAGAUUAAAAGGACGUGGUCCCAGAGCAACGGAGAUACCUCAGUCCGUAAUGUGCUUGUCUUGCUGUGCGAGUGUGAAGACCUGAGCUUGGAUUCCCAGCACUCGCAUAAAAAGCCAGGGGCAGGAGGCCAUGUGGGCUGGACUGAGGCCCACAAUUCCCAGAAGCUUUGGGAAGAACUGGGACCUGAAGGGAAGUUCCUGGGAGGACAGGCCUAAGCAGCAGGAGCCCGGGUUUAAUCAGGUGACAUAGGCAGGCCUAGGCAGGAGAAGCUGAGCUCCUAACUUGGUACAGGAGCUAGGUGGGGGCUAGGCUUCUGGCCCCAAAUUCCUAGGAGCUGUGGGCAGGCCUGGUGCAGGCUGUGGGGCUGCUGCUGGUGUUAGUGGAAUAUAGGUGAAAUAAAAGUAGAGAACAGGAAGACAGGGGACAGGUAGUUGGAGCAGGCAGUGGAGGGAUGGGGGUUGGAGAAUGCAGGGUCAGAGGAAGGCUUAACCAACAUGAAGAACCUACAUGAUUUUUCUAUCUGAAUAAAAACAAUUUAAUGAAGGAACUGUACAACAUACUCAAUAUGAACGAACAGGGGGAAAAUACUGUGAAUAAAGCUUUAGGUAGAUUUGGGGACAGGAUGGGUAAGAGACCAUUUAACCAAAACCUAGGAUAUAUGACAAAGCUUUAUGAAGCCCCCUGCCUUGUAAUCUAAUUUAAAAUUUAACUUUUAGAGGGAGUUUGAACUCGAGUACUCCAUAUUAGUGACAGUCCUGCUCCCAGGAGAUACGUGUUAGUAAAUGAAAAUCUCAGUGUUGGGCAUGGAUUGCUUCCCUGUGAUUUAUUGGUCAAAGAGGCCCCAGAGGCAUCAAACCCCGUACAGGCUAUUGCCAUUGCUCUUGAUGCCCACUGUCACAGGAUGACAGGACCCUAUUGCUGAAGGCAGCACAUGAUUUUGUUGCAGGUCACAGAGAAAUCGAUCCUAAACUGAUCAGUAAACUCACCCUACUGGAUGCCAUUCAUAGUGCUAGACAACCUUAUGCAAGCUGCUGCUGGGGAGAAGAGACUGCAGUGGGCUUACCCGGGGCUGAGUCUUAUAUCCAACAAUAGCGACCUGCCAGGCAAGAUGUGCCUGCGGCUGCAAUCGUGGCACAACUGCUUACGGACACCCCCUUGCAUGUGAGACCUGCUCCGCAGGAUGAAAUUCAUGGCUGGUAUUGUAAACACAGCUACAAACAUGGCUAGGGAAGUCAUGGCCCCCAGGGAAGAACCUUAUGACAUUGUUUUUCUAAAUAGUUACGUUGUCAAACCACCUUAUAAAUAUUUAGGUUUAUAACUGUAGGUGUAUUUGUGCUGCUCCCAACCUUCUUAUUGCAGUGCAUUGUGGGUACUGCAGAGAUGCAUUACUGCUUAAAAUGCCGACAAUAAGGAACAGUGAAUGCUUAGCCAUAGAUAGGGCAUCUGGGUCAAGCCCCCUUCCAAGGCUCAGGUAACAUCUUGGAAGAGGGGAUAAAAAGAAUGUAUGAGCUGGAUAAUGAGGGAGAAUGCUGUGAAGUGCUGUGCCCUGUGUAGGCCUGGCUGUUCUGCUUAUGGACACACAGCAGCUGUGGUUACCAUGGUUACUUGCACAAGGUCUGUGCAAGAUCAAGCCAAUUAACAGUACCAGCAUGGAAGACAGAGAGGGUCCUGAUGUGACACCUGCUGCUGCAGCUGAAGAGCCCAGGGGUUGAUGCCAUGCCCAUGCCUGUGUGAUGGCACUCACUGGACUCAGUGGGCUAAAAAAAAAUUUUUUUUUAAAUUUAGUAACAAAGUUUGAAAUAAAUGUUUUAAAGGGGGUAAAUAAACUUGGGAAAGAGAUAUAAUGGGAAGUUGAGGGGAGUUGGAGGAGAGAGAUCCAGAUAAGUUGUAUAAAUGUAUAUCAUUUUCAAAAGAAUACAUACAAAUUAUAAAAACUCCAGGUGUGUUUACGUGUGCCUGCAAUCCCAGUACUGGUUGACGGAAACAGGUGGAUUUCUGGGACUCUUGGGUCAGCAAGCUGGCCUGAAUGGGGAGUUCUAGGCCAGCAAGAAUCCUGUCUUAAGGGCAUGAUGGCACACACCUUUAAUCCCAGCAUUCUAGAGGCAGAAGCAGGCAGAUCCUCAUGAAUAUAUUCCAGGCCAGUCAGGGUGAGAUACUGAGACCCUGUCUCAAACAAACAAAAAGUGGAGAGUAGCAGAAGAACUCAGUUUCCGAUUUCUACACAGGUAUGCAUCCAUGUAAACCUGCAUACAGCAGUUCAUGAACACACACACACACUUGUGCACACACUCCUGUGAUCCCCACCUUCCAGUGCCUCCCUUUGUAUUAUAAAGAAUAUUUGUUUCACAAAUGGGCAAACUCCUAAGCAGGACAACUUUAGAGGUUUGUAAGAGGUCAUAAGAGACGGCAGUUUUUCUUUCCAGGGGUGUGUCUGAGAUACUUGGACAUUGGCAUCUGCUAAUGUUAAAAAGUAUACUUCAAAUGUGUACCAAGUUUUAA